RNA transcript from Ochotona curzoniae (black-lipped pika), 565 nucleotides. It is a transcript of the gene named ras-related protein Rab-6A-like, with no coding region annotated. The record is from RefSeq and is a predicted model, not a curated record. Lineage: Eukaryota; Metazoa; Chordata; Mammalia; Lagomorpha; Ochotonidae. The transcript has 2 exons.
AUGCCCAUGAGCAUUAGAAAGACAUUCUUGAUCACCAGAUUCCUCUAUGAUAGUUUUGACAACACCUAUCAGGCAAUAACUGGCAUUGAUUUUGUAGUCAAAAACAAUGUGUUUGGAGGAUUGAGCAAUCAGACUACAGUGUGAUAUAAUGCGGGUCAGAAAUGUUUCUGUGGCCUCAUUCUCAGUUGCAUCCACAGUUCUGCUGCAGCCAAAAUAGAUUACAGUGUUGCAAAUGUCAGUUGCUUCCAGCACACUACAAAUGGAUUGGUGAGGUCAGAACAGAAGGAAUAAGUGGUGUUAUCAUCAUGCUAUUAGGAAAUAAAAGAGAUCUUGUUGACGAAAGACAAGUGUCUACUGAGGAGGGAUUGAGGAAAGCCCAAGAGCUGAAUGUCAUGUUUAUUGAAACUAGUGAAAAAGCAGGAUAAACGUGAAGCAGCUCUUCUGACGUGUGGCAGCAGCUUUGCCUGGAAUGGAAAGCACACAGGACAGAAGCAGAGAAGACAUGAUUGAUAUAAAACUGGAAAAGCCUCAGGACCAACCAGUUGGCAAAUGCUGUUCCUGCUAA